This is a non-coding RNA of Oryza glumipatula, 208 nucleotides long. The record is from Rfam. Lineage: Eukaryota; Viridiplantae; Streptophyta; Magnoliopsida; Poales; Poaceae.
GCCAAAUGCAGUUUUGCACUGUUCACGUCUAACGUUUGACCGCUCAUCUUAUUUAAAAUUUUUCUAUGAUUAGUAUUUUUAUUGUUAGUGCAUGAUAAAACAUAAAUAAUACUUUAUGUGUGACUAUUUUUUUUUAAUAUUUUCAUAAAUUUUUCAAAUAGGAUGGAUGGUCAAACGUUCAACACGGAUUCCCACGACUGCACUUAUU